Non-coding RNA from Acanthosepion pharaonis, 98 nucleotides. NCBI's taxonomy places the organism in Eukaryota, Metazoa, Mollusca, Cephalopoda, Sepiida, Sepiidae. The record is from the annotation of a GenBank genome assembly.
UUGGAACAUCAGUUCCCAUAAGAGCACCAAAGUUAAGCAAUAUAGAGCCUUGUCAGUACCUAGAUGAGUGGCCACUUGGGAAUACCAGGUGCUGUAAG